RNAcentral lists this long non-coding RNA (1216 nucleotides) under Gallus gallus (chicken). RNAcentral describes it as "lncRNA (ENSGALG00010004615.1)". The record is from RNAcentral. Lineage: Eukaryota; Metazoa; Chordata; Aves; Galliformes; Phasianidae.
GGGAGGUUGUGGAUUCUCCAUCCCUGGAGGAAUUCAAGGCCAGGCUAGAUGUGGCUCUGGGCAGCCUGGUCCGGUGGCUGGUGACCCUGCACCAAGCAGGGGGGUUGAAACUAGAAGAACAUUAUGAUCCUUUUCAACCCAGACCAGCCUAUGAUUCUAGGACUGGAAGGGACCUUGAGAGGUCAUCGAGUCCAGUCCCACUGCUGGAGCAGGAACACCUAGAUUAGGUCACACGGGAACACGGCCAGGUAGGCUUUGAAUGUCUCCAGAGAAGGAGACCCCACAACCUCUCUGUGCAGCCUUUUCCAGUGUUCGGUUGCCCUGGUAGCCAUACUGAGGUGUGUGUAGGAACAUAAGAGAAUCGCGGUAGGUUGGGGGAAAUAGUAGCUUUAAUUAAAUGGUUGAGUGUCUUUUUCUAAAGAAGCAUUUAGGUCUCAGUCUCCUUUUGCUGCUCACAGUGAAAAAAUAGGAUCAUGCCCAAAGUAUGGAGUUGCAUGAACGUGCUGAAAUGUAAGAAAGCACGCGGUCCUUCAAAUUUAGGUGUGCCAUCCCAUAGAUUAUCAGUGACGAGCCUGGUCUUAUCACUUUCCCCUUCAGGUCUAGUUUAAAGCUUUGCGGCUCAGUUCUGCUAAGGCCUGCAAAAAUGCUUUUCCUCCUCUGAGAAAGGUGUGUCCCAUCAGGUGCUGCCAGGCCUCUGCCUCACCAGAUGGUGUCCUCACUGGGGCUUUGGCUUCCUCUGCUGCACCCUCCCUCUCAGGGGUAUCUUCCAGCUCUUCUUGACAUCCUUUCGAAUAACGUAGGCCUGUUUGCAAAGACUGCAGGACAGGAGCAAGCGCACGCUCAUGAAAGAGCGUGGCCUCUCUUUGAUGUCCCUGGCACCCGGCACACUCGGAGAAGUGCCAGCCCCUUUGGCACCAUCAUCUGCUGCCUGUUGUGCUGCCAGGGAACGCGAGCUAGGAGCCCCGUCUGCGUCUCUUCUGCCCUCCUGAGCACUGGGACCUGGUCGCGUCUCAUCUGCGGGACCACUCCCAGCAUUGGGGGCCAGCACCUGGGCAGAUCUCGGUGUUCCCAGAGUGCAGGUGGGUGGGCCUUGCUGUGGACCUGCUGGUUUCUGGCUGGGUUUUGGUCUUGCGGCUACUGGACGCCCCCGAUAUGCCAACCCGAGUGACUUCUGUGUGGCAUGUGCAGGCUGGAGGGGGGGCGCAGGAACAAAGAG